UUAGUAAGAUUUCCACGCAAGUCUUCGUACAUGAGGCCCCAGGGCUUUCCUGUUGCAGUCGGGUGUGCACGUCUCCAACACCACUAUAAGACGAUACUAUAGACAUCAAAGCCCUGUAGGCCUUCCUAGAAAAACAACUGCAAGGCAAGGAAAAUGAACAGUGCUGCACUUAAAACGAUUGACGAAAAACUGCACAGGGACAAUGAGCGAUCUGCUAAAAAGAUUCAGAGUGAGCUUCUGUUUAGAAUACAGUAAAAGCAUCAGUCUGCACUAUUAGAAAACCAGUAAAAUAACUCAGGUGGACCUAUGGAAAAGCCAGGCUAUUUGCUUUAUACGAGCUUACAUGUCCUACAAAUUUAUUAAUAGGACAUACCCUAUUAAUAAACCGCCAUGUUGUGAAACCGAAAGCAAAGCAUCCAGUAAAAAUUCAUGUCUGGGGAGCCAUAUUCCGUCAGGGACCUGGACCGCUAGUUGUGUUAGAAGGAAUUAUGGACAGAUGUUUUUACGAAGACACUAAAAUAAAAUUCAAUCAGGCUCCAUACGUAAAACAACACUUUAAGAACCAUAUCACUUCUUCCAAGGUAGAUACAGUAUGU
Non-coding RNA from Danio rerio (zebrafish), 596 nucleotides. NCBI's taxonomy places the organism in Eukaryota, Metazoa, Chordata, Actinopteri, Cypriniformes, Danionidae. The record is from RefSeq and is a predicted model, not a curated record.